UAGUAACGGCGAGUGAAGCGGCAACAGCUCAAAUUUGAAAUCUGGCGUCUUCGGCGUCCGAGUUGUAAUUUGUAGAGGAUGCUUUGGGUCAGCCACCGGUCUAAGUUCCUUGGAACAGGACGUCACAGAGGGUGAGAAUCCCGUACGUGACCGGCUUCGGCAACCUAUGUAAAGCUCCUUCGACGAGUCGAGUUGUUUGGGAAUGCAGCUCUAAAUGGGAGGUAAAUUUCUUCUAAAGCUAAAUACCGGCGAGAGACCGAUAGCGCACAAGUAGAGUGAUCGAAAGAUGAAAAGCACUUUGGAAAGAGAGUUAAAAAGCACGUGAAAUUGUUGAAAGGGAAGCGCUUGCAAUCAGACUUGCCCGCGGAUGUUCAACCGGUCUUCUGACCGGUCUAUUCUUCCGUGGGCAGGCCAGCAUCAGUUUCGGCGGCCGGACAAAGGCCCUGAGAAUGUAGCACCCCUUCGGGGGUGUGUUAUAGCUCGGGGUGUAAUACGGCCUGCCGGGACUGAGGUCCGCGCUUCGGCUAGGAUGCUGGCGUAAUGGUUGUAAGCGGCCCGUCUUGAAACACGGACCAAGGAGUCUAACAUCUAUGCGAGUGUUAGGGUGUCAAACCCUUACGCGUAAUGAAAGUGAACGGAGGUGGGAACCGCAAGGUGCACCAUCGACCGAUCCUGAUGUCUUCGGAUGGAUUUGAGUAAGAGCAUAGCUGUUGGGACCCGAAAGAUGGUGAAC
RNAcentral lists this ribosomal RNA (733 nucleotides) under Pseudohormonema sordidus. Its description in RNAcentral is "Pezizomycotina sp. JZG-2022l partial large subunit ribosomal RNA". It matches the Rfam family "Eukaryotic large subunit ribosomal RNA", at positions 81 to 831 of the family's 3401-position model. Lineage: Eukaryota; Fungi; Ascomycota; Dothideomycetes; Dothideales. The record is from RNAcentral.